AACAGGAUUAGAUACCCUGGUAGUCCACGCCCUAAACGAUGUCAACUGGUUGUUGGGAGGGUUUCUUCUCAGUAACGUAGCUAACGCGUGAAGUUGACCGCCUGGGGAGUACGGCCGCAAGGUUGAAACUCAAAGGAAUUGACGGGGACCCGCACAAGCGGUGGAUGAUGUGGUUUAAUUCGAUGCAACGCGAAAAACCUUACCUACCCUUGACAUGCCAGGAAUCCUGAAGAGAUUUGGGAGUGCUCGAAAGAGAACCUGGACACAGGUGCUGCAUGGCCGUCGUCAGCUCGUGUCGUGAGAUGUUGGGUUAAGUCCCGCAACGAGCGCAACCCUUGUCAUUAGUUGCUACGAAAGGGCACUCUAAUGAGACUGCCGGUGACAAACCGGAGGAAGGUGGGGAUGACGUCAGGUCAUCAUGGCCCUUAUGGGUAGGGCUACACACGUCAUACAAUGGCCGGGACAGAGGGCUGCCAACCCGCGAGGGGGAGCUAAUCCCAGAAACCCGGUCGUAGUCCGGAUCGUAGUCUGCAACUCGACUGCGUGAAGUCGGAAUCGCUAGUAAUCGCGGAUCAGCUUGCCGCGGUGAAUACGUUCCCGGGUCUUGUAAACACCGCCCGUCACACCAUGGGAGCGGGUUCUGCCAGAAGUAGUUAGCCUAACCGCAAGGAGGGCGAUUACCACGGCAGGGUUCGUGACUGGGGUGAAGUCGUAACAAGGUAACC
This 725-nucleotide ribosomal RNA is filed under the name uncultured bacterium. Its description in RNAcentral is "bacterial SSU rRNA". It matches the Rfam family "Bacterial small subunit ribosomal RNA", at positions 771 to 1501 of the family's 1533-position model. The record is from RNAcentral.